Molecule: ribosomal RNA, 465 nt
Filed under: Vreelandella stevensii
Lineage: Bacteria; Pseudomonadati; Pseudomonadota; Gammaproteobacteria; Oceanospirillales; Halomonadaceae
Description: partial 16S ribosomal RNA
Rfam family: Bacterial small subunit ribosomal RNA
Source: RNAcentral
CCUACGGGGGGCUGCAGUGGGGAAUAUUGGACAAUGGGGGGAACCCUGAUCCAGCCAUGCCGCGUGUGUGAAGAAGGCCCUCGGGUUGUAAAGCACUUUCAGUGAGGAAGAACGCCUGGUGGUUAAUACCCAUCAGGAAAGACAUCACUCACAGAAGAAGCACCGGCUAACUCCGUGCCAGCAGCCGCGGUAAUACGGAGGGUGCGAGCGUUAAUCGGAAUUACUGGGCGUAAAGCGCGCGUAGGUGGCUUGAUAAGCCGGUUGUGAAAGCCCCGGGCUCAACCUGGGAACGGCAUCCGGAACUGUCAAGCUAGUGUGCAAGAGAGGAAGGUAGAAUUCCCGGUGUAGCGGUGAAAUGCGUAGAGAUCGGGAGGAAUACCAGUGGCGAAGGAGGCCUUCUGGACUGACACUGACACUGAGGUGCGAAAGCGUGGGUAGCAAACAGGAUUAGAUACCCUUGUAGUC